This 1696-nucleotide long non-coding RNA is filed under the name Oryctolagus cuniculus (rabbit). RNAcentral describes it as "lncRNA (ENSOCUG00000031150.1)". Lineage: Eukaryota; Metazoa; Chordata; Mammalia; Lagomorpha; Leporidae. The record is from RNAcentral.
AUGAGGCACUCCAGGCUACUGAAGUUUUACUUCUGGAAAGGGGUCCAUGAAAGACACCUCCUCUUGAUCGCUCUCUUUCGCUCUCCCAUUUGCUGCUUCUCGAGGUUGUCUGCCUGUUAUUCCACAUUAAGGCUAUUUUCUUCUCUAGCAUCUCACAUUGGGGCUCAAUUGACAGUUUCAUUUUUAGUCUUCACUUUGAAACUUCAAAAAUGUAUAAGAGUGGCCAAGAAGGACUUCUUUUUUAGAUUAAAGUCUGCAACGAGUUCUGAGAAAUCGCCUAGUAUUGCUCGAAUUGUUUACCCUCUUCUAGGUAUAUGACAUGAUAAUUAAAAUUGUCCCACAAAAACUGUGUUUAAUUUUAAAAUUCAAAUUUAGAAUGGAAAUAUUUAUAAGCCUUUCAAAGUAAUUCAAGGCGGCCAAUGAUCCAGGGAAAUACACUAUAAAAACAGAAUAUACUAUGUUUAAAACAUCACCACAUAUCCAAAAUCCUAGCAUAUUAUUUAAAACAAAAAUAAGGAUAGAAACAUUUGGUACAAGAUAUCAUAUUUACUCUUUUGAAAAAUGUCUCUUGAGGUCCUUGGCCCAUCUCUUAAGUGGGUUGUUGGUUUUGUUUUUGUGGAGUUUCUUGAUCUCUUUGUAGAUUCUGGUUAUUAACCCUUUAUCUGUUGCAUAGUUUGCAAAUAUUUUUUCACAUUCUGUCGGUUGCCUCUUCACUCUCCUGACUGUUUCUUUUGCAGUAAUGAAACUUCUCAAUUUGAUGCAAUCCCAAUAGUUGAUUUUGGCUUUGACUGCCUGUGCCUCCCGGGUCUUUUCCAGAAAUUCUUUGCCUGUGCCAAUAUCUUGAAGGGUUUCUCCAAUGUUCUCUAAUAACUUGAUGAUGUCAGGUCGUAGAUUUAGGUCUUUAAUCCAUGUUGAGUGGAUUUUUGUGUAAGGUGUAAGGUAGGGGUCUUGCUUCAUGAUUCUGCACGUGGAAAUCCAAUUUUCCCAGCACCAUUUAUUGAAUAGACUGUCCUUGCUCCAGGAAUUAGUUUUAGAUCCUUGAUUAAAUAUAAGUUGGCUGUAGAUGUUUGGGUUGAUUUCUGGUGUUUCAAUUCUGUUCCAUUGGUCUAUCCAUCUGUUUCUGUACCAGUACCAUGCUGUUUUGAUUACAACUGCCCUGUAGUAUGUCCUGAAAUCUGGUAUUGUGAUGCCUCAGGCUUUGUUUUUGUUGUACAAGAUUGCUUUAGCUAUUCAAGGUCUCUUGUGCCUCCAUAUAAAUUUCAGCACCAUUUUUUCCAGAUCUGAGAAGAAGGUCUUCGGUAUCUUGAUUGGUAUUGCAUUGAAUGUAUAAAUUGCUUUUGGGAGAAUGGACAUUUUGAUGAUGUUGAUUCUUCCAAUCCAUGAGCAUGGAAGAUUUUUCCAUUUCUUGGUAUCCUCUUCUAUUUCUUUCUUUAAGGUUUUGUAAUUUUCAUCGUAGAGAUCUUUAACGUCCUUGGUUAAGUUUAUUCCAAGGUAUUUGAUUGUUUUUGUAGCUAUUGUGAAUGGGAUUGAUCUUAGAAGUUCUUCCUCAGCCAUGGCGUUGUCUGUGUAUACAAAGGCUGUUGAUUUUUGUGCAUUGAUUUUAUACCCUGCUACUUUGCCAAACUCUUCUAUGAGUUCCAAUAGUCUCUUAGUAGAGUUCUUUGGGUCCCCUAAAUAAAGAAUCAUGUCAUCUGCA